CUGUCACAAUGCGGGAGUCCGGUUUCGGCCGGACUAGGUGGUCCACACCAGUGUUUCGGACAGCGGUUCGAUUCCGCUCAGCUCCAUUGCUCCCUGCCAGGUUGGUGGGGCGCCCUCCCAGCCCCCGGGCUGGGACCAUCAGGGGCUGCAAUGGUUUCGACGGGGCAUGAGGAGGGUGACUGAAGCCUGCUCGGUAAGAGCACACACGUAACAGCGAACAACAUCGUUCGUUUCUCCCGUCAAGCCGCCCCUGUGGCUGCCUGACUUAGUUAGGGAGAUGGGGUGAGAUCAGCCUUAUCACCCAAAUGAUCCAUGGGGCCUGGAAGGGCCC
This 331-nucleotide transfer-messenger RNA is filed under the name Synechococcales cyanobacterium SupBloom_Metag_052. It matches the Rfam family "Cyanobacteria transfer-messenger RNA". From Rfam's summary of the family: Bacterial tmRNA, also known as 10Sa RNA or SsrA, is named for its dual tRNA and mRNA-like properties. Its role is to liberate the mRNA from a stalled ribosome. To accomplish this part of the tmRNA is used as a reading frame that ends in a translation stop signal. The record is from RNAcentral. Lineage: Bacteria; Bacillati; Cyanobacteriota; Cyanophyceae; Synechococcales.